This 648-nucleotide ribosomal RNA is filed under the name Daldinia loculata. RNAcentral's name for it is "eukaryotic LSU rRNA". It matches the Rfam family "Eukaryotic large subunit ribosomal RNA", at positions 1 to 601 of the family's 3401-position model. Lineage: Eukaryota; Fungi; Ascomycota; Sordariomycetes; Xylariales; Hypoxylaceae. The record is from RNAcentral.
UCUUCUCGCUUCUGUAGUUGUCCUGGCGGCUUGCCGUUAAACCCCUAUAUUUCUAGUGGUUGACCUCGGAUUAGGUAGGAAUACCCGCUGAACUUAAGCAUAUCAAUAAGCGGAGGAAAAGAAACCAACAGGGAUUGCCCUAGUAACGGCGAGUGAAGCGGCAACAGCUCAAAUUUGAAAUCUGGCCCUAGCGGUCCGAGUUGUAAUUUGUAGAGGAUGCUUUUGGUUAGGUGCCUUCUGAGUUCCCUGGAACGGGACGCCAGAGAGGGUGAGAGCCCCGUACGGUUGGACACCGAGCCUCUAUAUAGCUCCUUCGACGAGUCGAGUAGUUUGGGAAUGCUGCUCUAAAUGGGAGGUAAAUUUCUUCUAAAGCUAAAUACCGGCCAGAGACCGAUAGCGCACAAGUAGAGUGAUCGAAAGAUGAAAAGUACUUUGAAAAGAGGGUUAAAUAGCACGUGAAAUUGUUGAAAGGGAAGCGUUUGCGACCAGACUUUUUCCAGGCGGAUCAUCCGGUGUUCUCACCGGUGCACUUCGCCUGGUUUAGGCCAGCAUCGGUUCUCUUAGGGGGAUAAAGGCCUGGGGAACGUAGCUCCUUCGGGAGUGUUAUAGCCCCUAGCGUAAUACCCUUCGGGGGACCGAGAACGCGCA